AUACCAUGAUGAGGACAUCUCCAGAGUAACUCCUUAAAUCUCUCUCAUGCAUCACACAAGCUCUCAUCUUCAAAUUGAUGGAAAGAUGUGAUUUCGUUCCUCGACUUU
This 108-nucleotide small nucleolar RNA is filed under the name Citrus sinensis (sweet orange). RNAcentral describes it as "Plant small nucleolar RNA R71". It matches the Rfam family "Plant small nucleolar RNA R71". From Rfam's summary of the family: R71 is a member of the C/D box family of snoRNAs containing the C (UGAUGA) and D (CUGA) box motifs. RNAcentral also lists the same sequence under 2 other names. The record is from Rfam by way of RNAcentral. Lineage: Eukaryota; Viridiplantae; Streptophyta; Magnoliopsida; Sapindales; Rutaceae.